This 2922-nucleotide ribosomal RNA is filed under the name Staphylococcus aureus DAR3897. Its description in RNAcentral is "bacterial LSU rRNA". It matches the Rfam family "Bacterial large subunit ribosomal RNA". Lineage: Bacteria; Bacillati; Bacillota; Bacilli; Caryophanales; Staphylococcaceae. The record is from RNAcentral.
UUAAGUUAUUAAGGGCGCACGGUGGAUGCCUUGGCACUAGAAGCCGAUGAAGGACGUUACUAACGACGAUAUGCUUUGGGGAGCUGUAAGUAAGCUUUGAUCCAGAGAUUUCCGAAUGGGGAAACCCAGCAUGAGUUAUGUCAUGUUAUCGAUAUGUGAAUACAUAGCAUAUCAGAAGGCACACCCGGAGAACUGAAACAUCUUAGUACCCGGAGGAAGAGAAAGAAAAUUCGAUUCCCUUAGUAGCGGCGAGCGAAACGGGAAGAGCCCAAACCAACAAGCUUGCUUGUUGGGGUUGUAGGACACUCUAUACGGAGUUACAAAGGACGACAUUAGACGAAUCAUCUGGAAAGAUGAAUCAAAGAAGGUAAUAAUCCUGUAGUCGAAAAUGUUGUCUCUCUUGAGUGGAUCCUGAGUACGACGGAGCACGUGAAAUUCCGUCGGAAUCUGGGAGGACCAUCUCCUAAGGCUAAAUACUCUCUAGUGACCGAUAGUGAACCAGUACCGUGAGGGAAAGGUGAAAAGCACCCCGGAAGGGGAGUGAAAUAGAACCUGAAACCGUGUGCUUACAAGUAGUCAGAGCCCGUUAAUGGGUGAUGGCGUGCCUUUUGUAGAAUGAACCGGCGAGUUACGAUUUGAUGCAAGGUUAAGCAGUAAAUGUGGAGCCGUAGCGAAAGCGAGUCUGAAUAGGGCGUUUAGUAUUUGGUCGUAGACCCGAAACCAGGUGAUCUACCCUUGGUCAGGUUGAAGUUCAGGUAACACUGAAUGGAGGACCGAACCGACUUACGUUGAAAAGUGAGCGGAUGAACUGAGGGUAGCGGAGAAAUUCCAAUCGAACCUGGAGAUAGCUGGUUCUCUCCGAAAUAGCUUUAGGGCUAGCCUCAAGUGAUGAUUAUUGGAGGUAGAGCACUGUUUGGACGAGGGGCCCCUCUCGGGUUACCGAAUUCAGACAAACUCCGAAUGCCAAUUAAUUUAACUUGGGAGUCAGAACAUGGGUGAUAAGGUCCGUGUUCGAAAGGGAAACAGCCCAGACCACCAGCUAAGGUCCCAAAAUAUAUGUUAAGUGGAAAAGGAUGUGGCGUUGCCCAGACAACUAGGAUGUUGGCUUAGAAGCAGCCAUCAUUUAAAGAGUGCGUAAUAGCUCACUAGUCGAGUGACACUGCGCCGAAAAUGUACCGGGGCUAAACAUAUUACCGAAGCUGUGGAUUGUCCUUUGGACAAUGGUAGGAGAGCGUUCCAAGGGCGUUGAAGCAUGAUCGUAAGGACAUGUGGAGCGCUUAGAAGUGAGAAUGCCGGUGUGAGUAGCGAAAGACGGGUGAGAAUCCCGUCCACCGAUUGACUAAGGUUUCCAGAGGAAGGCUCGUCCGCUCUGGGUUAGUCGGGUCCUAAGCUGAGGCCGACAGGCGUAGGCGAUGGAUAACAGGUUGAUAUUCCUGUACCACCUAUAAUCGUUUUAAUCGAUGGGGGGACGCAGUAGGAUAGGCGAAGCGUGCGAUUGGAUUGCACGUCUAAGCAGUAAGGCUGAGUAUUAGGCAAAUCCGGUACUCGUUAAGGCUGAGCUGUGAUGGGGAGAAGACAUUGUGUCUUCGAGUCGUUGAUUUCACACUGCCGAGAAAAGCCUCUAGAUAGAAAAUAGGUGCCCGUACCGCAAACCGACACAGGUAGUCAAGAUGAGAAUUCUAAGGUGAGCGAGCGAACUCUCGUUAAGGAACUCGGCAAAAUGACCCCGUAACUUCGGGAGAAGGGGUGCUCUUUAGGGUUAACGCCCAGAAGAGCCGCAGUGAAUAGGCCCAAGCGACUGUUUAUCAAAAACACAGGUCUCUGCUAAACCGUAAGGUGAUGUAUAGGGGCUGACGCCUGCCCGGUGCUGGAAGGUUAAGAGGAGUGGUUAGCUUCUGCGAAGCUACGAAUCGAAGCCCCAGUAAACGGCGGCCGUAACUAUAACGGUCCUAAGGUAGCGAAAUUCCUUGUCGGGUAAGUUCCGACCCGCACGAAAGGCGUAACGAUUUGGGCACUGUCUCAACGAGAGACUCGGUGAAAUCAUAGUACCUGUGAAGAUGCAGGUUACCCGCGACAGGACGGAAAGACCCCGUGGAGCUUUACUGUAGCCUGAUAUUGAAAUUCGGCACAGCUUGUACAGGAUAGGUAGGAGCCUUUGAAACGUGAGCGCUAGCUUACGUGGAGGCGCUGGUGGGAUACUACCCUAGCUGUGUUGGCUUUCUAACCCGCACCACUUAUCGUGGUGGGAGACAGUGUCAGGCGGGCAGUUUGACUGGGGCGGUCGCCUCCUAAAAGGUAACGGAGGCGCUCAAAGGUUCCCUCAGAAUGGUUGGAAAUCAUUCAUAGAGUGUAAAGGCAUAAGGGAGCUUGACUGCGAGACCUACAAGUCGAGCAGGGUCGAAAGACGGACUUAGUGAUCCGGUGGUUCCGCAUGGAAGGGCCAUCGCUCAACGGAUAAAAGCUACCCCGGGGAUAACAGGCUUAUCUCCCCCAAGAGUUCACAUCGACGGGGAGGUUUGGCACCUCGAUGUCGGCUCAUCGCAUCCUGGGGCUGUAGUCGGUCCCAAGGGUUGGGCUGUUCGCCCAUUAAAGCGGUACGCGAGCUGGGUUCAGAACGUCGUGAGACAGUUCGGUCCCUAUCCGUCGUGGGCGUAGGAAAUUUGAGAGGAGCUGUCCUUAGUACGAGAGGACCGGGAUGGACAUACCUCUGGUGUACCAGUUGUCGUGCCAACGGCAUAGCUGGGUAGCUAUGUGUGGACGGGAUAAGUGCUGAAAGCAUCUAAGCAUGAAGCCCCCCCUCAAGAUGAGAUUUCCCAACUUCGGUUAUAAGAUCCCUCAAAGAUGAUGAGGUUAAUAGGUUCGAGGUGGAAGCAUGGUGACAUGUGGAGCUGACGAAUACUAAUCGAUCGAAGACUUAAUCAA